RNAcentral lists this ribosomal RNA (748 nucleotides) under Lentilactobacillus buchneri. RNAcentral's name for it is "bacterial SSU rRNA". It matches the Rfam family "Bacterial small subunit ribosomal RNA", at positions 51 to 755 of the family's 1533-position model. Lineage: Bacteria; Bacillati; Bacillota; Bacilli; Lactobacillales; Lactobacillaceae. The record is from RNAcentral.
AUACAUGCAAGUCGAACGCGUCUCCGUUAAUGAUUUUAGGUGCUUGCACUUGAAAGAUUUAACAUUGAGACGAGUGGCGAACUGGUGAGUAACACGUGGGUAACCUGCCCUUGAAGUAGGGGAUAACACUUGGAAACAGGUGCUAAUACCGUAUAACAACCAAAACCACCUGGUUUUGGUUUAAAAGACGGCUUCGGCUGUCACUUUAGGAUGGACCCGCGGCGUAUUAGCUUGUUGGUAAGGUAACGGCCUACCAAGGCGAUGAUACGUAGCCGACCUGAGAGGGUAAUCGGCCACAUUGGGACUGAGACACGGCCCAAACUCCUACGGGAGGCAGCAGUAGGGAAUCUUCCACAAUGGACGAAAGUCUGAUGGAGCAACGCCGCGUGAGUGAUGAAGGGUUUCGGCUCGUAAAACUCUGUUGUUGGAGAAGAACAGGUGUCAGAGUAACUGUUGACAUCUUGACGGUAUCCAACCAGAAAGCCACGGCUAACUACGUGCCAGCAGCCGCGGUAAUACGUAGGUGGCAAGCGUUGUCCGGAUUUAUUGGGCGUAAAGCGAGCGCAGGCGGUUUUUUAGGUCUGAUGUGAAAGCCUUCGGCUUAACCGGAGAAGUGCAUCGGAAACCGGGAGACUUGAGUGCAGAAGAGGACAGUGGAACUCCAUGUGUAGCGGUGAAAUGCGUAGAUAUAUGGAAGAACACCAGUGGCGAAGGCGGCUGUCUGGUCUGUAACUGACGCUGAGGCUCG